Non-coding RNA from Peromyscus maniculatus bairdii (prairie deer mouse), 1037 nucleotides. NCBI's taxonomy places the organism in Eukaryota, Metazoa, Chordata, Mammalia, Rodentia, Cricetidae. The record is from RefSeq and is a predicted model, not a curated record.
UCCUCAGCGUCACCUCUCUGAGAUGGCACACAGAAGCUCACUGAAGCCACACUGAUAGUUGCAAGAAACCAGGGAGGCCUGUGGCACAGUUCAGGGGGCGGGUCUCACAGGUGGUCCUCCAGCAUUGAGCUAGAGCCCCGGAAGUCGUCUUCCAGAGCGCGGGAUUUGAAUUUGUGUCCAGACACGCCCCUUUCUUUCCGCCGCGGACACAGCCUGCAAGAAAUUGGGUCCCAUGAGGUUAGACUUUCAAAAGAGAAGGCAAGAUGCCAGUCAAGAUUUAUAACCCAUUCUUUCUCUGUGAUUGAAAGAUGGAGAACGCAACUCCGAAUCACAGAACAAUGAGAUAAGACACUCUAAGGCAGGCACACCAACUGAGCUUCAAAUGUCCUAACAGAUGACAAACAGAAGAUCUUGAGACAGGAAGACACACCUUUAAUCUGGGCCUCACCUCCUUCUGGAAGCCUAUCUAAUGAGGUGGAAGAAGGAAGCUUUUGCUCUUUGCCAGCUUGCCCUCACCUUGUUAGCAGGUCUAUUCCUUCAUUGACAUUAGAGCCUACUUCUUUGGGAUGCCAGCACCUACUGAAGACCAUUUGAGAACAUCUAGCCUUGUGGUCUGAGCAACUACUGGAUUCUUGGGCUUACGAUUCACAGCUAGCCACUGUUGGAUUAGCUGGACCUCAGCUUAUAAGACAUUCUAAUAAGUCCCCUUUCUGUAUAUAUCGAGAGAUUCAUUCUAUAAGUUCUGUUAGUCUUGAGAACCCUGACUAAUUCAGGUAUUUAAAAGCAAAAAAAAAAAAAUCUAAUAAUAAAAUUGUUGGGAUAGUAUUUUUAAUAUGUCCCAAAAUAUUUAUAUAAAGAAAUUUACCUAUAAGAAUCCAUACACUGUAUAGUAAUGGCUUUAUUUGUAUGAGAGCUCAUUUUUGGAAGAAAUCUGCAAUUGUUUUUACUGGUGUAUAGUUUGUGUUCUCUAUAGCCCUUUAAAUCUGUCUGCCCCUUAGUAUUCCUGUCUACAGAAUGGGUGAAAAUUGCUUCAAAAA